This 330-nucleotide ribosomal RNA is filed under the name uncultured Mycobacterium sp. RNAcentral describes it as "bacterial SSU rRNA". It matches the Rfam family "Bacterial small subunit ribosomal RNA", at positions 17 to 351 of the family's 1533-position model. The record is from RNAcentral. Lineage: Bacteria; Bacillati; Actinomycetota; Actinomycetes; Mycobacteriales; Mycobacteriaceae.
UCCUGGCUCAGGACGAACGCUGGCGGCGUGCUUAACACAUGCAAGUCGAACGGAAAGGCCCUUCGGGGUACUCGAGUGGCGAACGGGUGAGUAACACGUGGGUGAUCUGCCCUGCACUUUGGGAUAAGCCUGGGAAACUGGGUCUAAUACCGAAUAUGACCACGCUCUUCAUGGGGUGUGGUGGAAAGCUUUUGCGGUGUGGGAUGGGCCCGCGGCCUAUCAGCUUGUUGGUGGGGUAAUGGCCUACCAAGGCGACGACGGGUAGCCGGCCUGAGAGGGUGACCGGCCACACUGGGACUGAGAUACGGCCCAGACUCCUACGGGAGGCAG